ACGUUAGCUGCAGAAGAAGCACCGGCUAACUCCGUGCCAGCAGCCGCGGUAAGUACGGAGGGUGCGAGCGUUAAUCGGAAUUACUGGGCGUAAAGCGCAUGCAGGUGGUUUGUUAAGUCAGAUGUGAAAGCCCGGGGCUCAACCUCGGAAUUGCAUUUGAAACUGGCAAACUAGAGUACUGUAGAGGGGGUAGAAUUUCAGGUGUAGCGGUGAAAAUGCGUAGAGAUCUGAAGGAAUACCGGUGGCGAAGGCGGCCCCCUGGACAGAUACUGACACUCAGAUGCGAAAGCGUGGGGAGCAAACAGGAUUAGAUACCCUGGUAG
This 323-nucleotide ribosomal RNA is filed under the name uncultured bacterium. RNAcentral's name for it is "bacterial SSU rRNA". It matches the Rfam family "Bacterial small subunit ribosomal RNA", at positions 472 to 793 of the family's 1533-position model. The record is from RNAcentral.